This 271-nucleotide ribosomal RNA is filed under the name uncultured bacterium. RNAcentral describes it as "partial 16S ribosomal RNA". It matches the Rfam family "Bacterial small subunit ribosomal RNA", at positions 524 to 794 of the family's 1533-position model. The record is from RNAcentral.
UACGAAGGGGGCUAGCGUUGUUCGGAAUCACUGGGCGUAAAGCGCACGUAGGCGGACCAUUAAGUCAGGGGUGAAAGCCUGGAGCUCAACCACAGAAUUGCCUUCGAUACUGUUUGGCUUGAGUUUGGUAGAGGUUGGUGGAACUGCGAGUGUAGAGGUGAAAUUCGUAGAUAUUCGCAAGAACACCAGUGGCGAAGGCGGCCAACUGGACCAAUACUGACGCUGAGGCGCGAAAGCGUGGGGAGCAAACAGGAUUAGAUACCCCAGUAGU